CAGUAGCCGCGGGAAUACGAAGGGGGCUAGCGUUGUUCGGAAUUACUGGGCGUAAAGCGCACGCAGGCGGAUACUUAAGUCAGGGGUGAAAUCCCGGGGCUCAACCCCGGAACUGCCUUUGAUACUGGGUAUCUCGAGUCCGGAAGAGGUGAGUGGAAUUCCGAGUGUAGAGGUGAAAUUCGUAGAUAUUCGGAGGAACACCAGUGGCGAAGGCGGCUCACUGGUCCGGUACUGACGCUGAGGUGCGAAAGCGUGGGGAGCAAACAGGAUUAGAUACCCCAGUAGUCCCUGUCUCUUAUAC
Molecule: ribosomal RNA, 301 nt
Filed under: uncultured bacterium
Lineage: Bacteria
Description: partial 16S ribosomal RNA
Rfam family: Bacterial small subunit ribosomal RNA
Source: RNAcentral